RNAcentral lists this ribosomal RNA (1341 nucleotides) under Charmon rufithorax. RNAcentral describes it as "SSU rRNA". It matches the Rfam family "Eukaryotic small subunit ribosomal RNA", at positions 41 to 1307 of the family's 1831-position model. Lineage: Eukaryota; Metazoa; Arthropoda; Insecta; Hymenoptera; Braconidae. The record is from RNAcentral.
AGAUUAAGCCAUGCAUGUCUCAGUACAUGCCGUAUUAAGGUGAAACCGCGAAUGGCUCAUUAAAUCAGUUAUGGUUCCUUAGAUCGUACACACAUUUACUUGGAUAACUGUGGUAAUUCUAGAGCUAAUACAUGCAAACUAGAGUUCCGACCAGAGAUGGAAGGAACGCUUUUAUUAGAUCAAAACCAAUCGGUGGCGGAAUUUUAUAAUUUUGUCCAUCGUUUACUUUGGUGACUCUGAAUAACUUUGUGCUGAUCGCAUGGUCUCGUACCGGCGACGAAUCUUUCAAAUGUCUGCCUUAUCAACUUACGAUGGUAGGUUCUGCGCCUACCAUGGUUGUAACGGGUAACGGGGAAUCAGGGUUCGAUUCCGGAGAGGGAGCCUGAGAAACGGCUACCACAUCCAAGGAAGGCAGCAGGCGCGCAAAUUACCCACUCCCGGCACGGGGAGGUAGUGACGAAAAAUAACGAUACGGGACUCAUCCGAGGCCCCGUAAUCGGAAUGAGUACACUUUAAAUCCUUUAAUGAGGAUCCAUUGGAGGGCAAGUCUGGUGCCAGCAGCCGCGGUAAUUCCAGCUCCAAUAGCGUAUAUUAAAGUUGUUGCGGUUAAAAAGCUCGUAGUUGAAUCUGUGUGCCACGCUGUCGGUGCACCGCUCGCGGUGUUUAACUGGCAUGAUUGUGGGACGUCCUACCGGUGGGCCUAACUUUAUUUCACAAUAAAGCGGCCCAACUAAUAUCCCAUCGCGGUGCUCUUAAACGAGUGUCGAGGUGGGCCGGUACGUUUACUUUGAACAAAUUAGAGUGCUUAAAGCAGGCUAUUUUCGCCUGAAUACUGUGUGCAUGGAAUAAUAGAAUAGGAUCUCGGUUCUAUUUUGUUGGUUUUCGGAACUCCGAGAUAAUGAUUAAUAGGGACAGAUGGGGGCAUUCGUAUUGCGACGUUAGAGGUGAAAUUCUUGGAUCGUCGCAAGACGGACAGAAGCGAAAGCAUUUGCCAAAAAUGUUUUCAUUAAUCAAGAACGAAAGUUAGAGGUUCGAAGGCGAUCAGAUACCGCCCUAGUUCUAACCAUAAACGAUGCCAGCUAGCGAUCCGCCGAAGUUCCUCCGAUGACUCGGCGGGCAGCUUCCGGGAAACCAAAGCUUUUGGGUUCCGGGGGAAGUAUGGUUGCAAAGCUGAAACUUAAAGGAAUUGACGGAAGGGCACCACCAGGAGUGGAGCCUGCGGCUUAAUUUGACUCAACACGGGAAACCUCACCAGGCCCGGACACCGGAAGGAUUGACAGAUUGAUAGCUCUUUCUUGAUUCGGUGGGUGGUGGUGCAUGGCCGUUCUUAGUUGGUGGAGC